CCUACGUGAGGCAGCAGUGAGGAAUAUUGGUCAAUGGACGAGAGUCUGAACCAGCCAAGUAGCGUGAAGGAUGACUGCCCUAUGGGUUGUAAACUUCUUUUAUAUGGGAAUAAAAUGAUCCACGUGUGGCAUUUUGUAUGUACCAUAUGAAUAAGGAUCGGCUAAUUCCGUGCCAGCAGCCGCGGUAAUACGGAGGUUCCGAGCGUUAUCCGGAUUUAUUGGGUUUAAAGGGAGCGUAGGUGGUUUUGUAAGCCCGUUGUGAAAGUUUGCGGCUCAACCGUAAAAUUGCAGUUGAAACUGGCAGUCUUGAGUGCAGUAGAGGUGGGCGGAAUUCGUGGUGUAGCGGUGAAAUGCUUAGAUAUCACGAAGAACUCCGAUUGCGAAGGCAGUUCACUGGACUGCAACUGACACUGAGGCUCGAAAGUGUGGGUAUCAAACAGGAUUAGAUACCCUAGUAGUC
RNAcentral lists this ribosomal RNA (460 nucleotides) under uncultured bacterium. Its description in RNAcentral is "partial 16S ribosomal RNA". It matches the Rfam family "Bacterial small subunit ribosomal RNA", at positions 338 to 795 of the family's 1533-position model. The record is from RNAcentral.